UACGGGGGGGGCAAGCGUUGUUCGGAAUUACUGGGCGUAAAGGGCGCGUAGGCGGCCAACUAAGUCAGACGUGAAAUCCCCAGGCUCAACCUGGGAACUGCGUCUGAUACUGGAUGGCUUGAGUUUGGGAGAGGGAUGCGGAAUUCCAGGUGUAGCGGUGAAAUGCGUAGAUAUCUGGAGGAACACCGGUGGCGAAGGCGGCAUCCUGGGCCAACACUGACGCUGAGUGAGCGAAAGCCAGGGGAGCAAACGGG
This 254-nucleotide ribosomal RNA is filed under the name uncultured bacterium. RNAcentral's name for it is "partial 16S ribosomal RNA". It matches the Rfam family "Bacterial small subunit ribosomal RNA", at positions 524 to 776 of the family's 1533-position model. The record is from RNAcentral.